RNAcentral lists this ribosomal RNA (253 nucleotides) under uncultured bacterium. RNAcentral describes it as "partial 16S ribosomal RNA". It matches the Rfam family "Bacterial small subunit ribosomal RNA", at positions 524 to 776 of the family's 1533-position model. The record is from RNAcentral.
UACGGGGGGGGCAAGCGUUGUUCGGAAUUACUGGGCGUAAAGGGCUCGUAGGUGGCCAACUAAGUCAGACGUGAAAUCCCUCGGCUUAACCGGGGAACUGCGUCUGAUACUGGAUGGCUUGAGAUUGGGAGAGGGAUGCGGAAUUCCAGGUGUAGCGGUGAAAUGCGUAGAUAUCUGGAGGAACACCGGUGGCGAAGGCGGCAUCCUGGACCAACACUGACGCUGAUGAGCGAAAGCCAGGGGAGCAAACGGG